Molecule: long non-coding RNA, 3034 nt
Organism: Astatotilapia calliptera (eastern happy)
Lineage: Eukaryota; Metazoa; Chordata; Actinopteri; Cichliformes; Cichlidae
Source: Ensembl
AUGAAUGACUCUGUCCCAGCCUUUACGAUCCAUUGGCGCGGUUUCCAUCGUAUCUAUGUCACGUGUUUCUGCCUACUGUGGCAGUGACGUGUCUCCGCCUACUGUGGCUGUCAUGUGUUUCUGCCUACUGUGGAGCUCCACGGUGGCUGCAGCCAGACCUUUCUCGACACAAGGCUGAAGGCCCGGACCAUGAUAGUCUCAUAGGUGCUGUGUUUUACAGUCAGCCCAAAUGCGCUAAUUUGUUUUCAGUGAAAACAGCAAUUUCAUAAAUUCAACAAAACAAAGUUAAAGUUUGAAACAAUAAAAAGCCAACAAGCAUAGCCAUGGAUGCUAAAAUGAUUUAAACUAUUACUAAUAUUGAUGGUCAUCUCCGUAAGGCUUGGGUGUGUUUUGUGGCUCUGUUCAGAUUUUAUCCUGUGGUGGUAAAGGUUUCGGUCUCCUCCAUUAAAGGUGCACCUUCCUUUGCAGGAUGAAGUCCAGAUGGCUGCUGUCCGCUGUGGACAGACUUCCUACCAUCAGUGAAAUGCAGGAGACUGACACAGAAGAAGGAGACCCGGACUGCUCCUCUCACACCAUGGAGGAGUAUGUGGACUCCAUCAAAGAGCUCUCCCAGCCGGCCCCCUACCCACUCCAUGGGCCCCUCAGAGGUCACCGCCUCUGGAUGGUGCGCUCAUGCCCCGCGGCUCCACCUGUGGCACCGGCUCUGUUUUUAAAAUCCCUGAGAAGCAGCCCACCUUGGAGUCCAGUUGACCUAUCAGAUGUAUCACUGACCUUAACAGACCAAUCAAAGUGUGAGACAUCAACACAUUUCAAACAAAACCUGCUGGACGUGCUGGUGGGACAUUCCCUGUUUGCAGGGCUGGUGUGAGGUGAAGGUAGCGGCCGGACUGCUGACCUCUGCCCACGGCUCCCGUCAGCUCCACGAUGCAUGAUUCAUUUAUGUGUAAGAAGUAAUUGAGUCAGCAACGCUCCAGAAGCUAUAUGCAUUCCCUUUGAAGUUCUAAAUGAACGCAACACAUGAAACAAAAGAUGAAAAGCGAAAAAUCAAGGGCAGAACAAACAAACGAGCAGUGCCUGCCUGGAUGCCUGAGGUAUAAGUGCGAUAAGUGGCUGUGCUGGGCCCACUCGUCCACCAGGGGGCCCUCCAACAGACCCAAGCUGUGAACUCUCCUGAUUUGAAUAUUUAAAGACAUACUCUCUGAUUUUUGCCACCAGAAUCUUCUGAGGACCCCAAACUAAGGAUGAUUCAAGAAAGCAAUGCAAACUAGGUAGAUUCAUUGGCUCCCACACCCCAGGAGCUCGUUGAGAUGAACUACAAAUAUUAAAUCUCUUCAGACUGUAGCUCUAAAUUAAAUAUCCAAGCAUUUGCCUUCAGACCGUUUAAAGGGCCCAGAAUUAGGUAAGCUUUAACUGCCUAGAAAAGGAAUACAAAGGGCUGCUUCAGCCGACGGGGGGCCUUCGAACAGCUUCGGGGUUUAAGUUGUGACUUAAAAAUUUAAAGAUAGUCUCCCUCAUUGGCUCUAGUCUAUCCCAGCUGGCACAUAAAUAUGAACUCUGUGUAGAGUCUGGUUCAAUUUUAAAUAUCCGAAUCAUUUCUGUUGGACAUUUGAAGAAAUUUGGAUGUUCGGUCUUAAUCUAAAGAUCUUAAUAUCUUUUUGGUUCAAAGCUCUAUGCUUCUUCAUAUCCACCAGAUCUAGGGUUAUGAUUUUAGUCAACUCUUUUUAGACACACAUAGCUUUUUUGGAAAACCAAAAACCUUUCAUCUUGUUGUUCCUUUUUUUAAAAAUUGGUCUUAGGCUGGUGACCUGGGAGGUGUUAGGAUGAAAUCAUCAUGUUUUCUUUUAGGGUUUUUUUCAUUCAAAUAAGUAAACUUCUACUGCAAGACAUUUGAUUUCAAAUUCUCCUUCGAUACAGACGCAGAGAUGUGUUAGUAAAUGAUGAGAUUUGUUUCUCUUUUUCAUCACCACCAGGUAAAAAAAGAAUAUGGCGGUCUCUUCCUGUUGAAAAGGAGAUCUUCCUUACCACUGUCUCCAAAUGCUUCUCGUAGGUUAUUGUCUCUCAAACAAUCUAAUCUAUAAAGCAUCUUGAGAUUACUCUCAUCAGUCGUGACUCAUGAGCUUUAUAAAUAAAAUGAACUGAACCCCCUUUGACCUUAAAAUGUACUGCUAAGCCUAAAGCUUCUUAUUCUUUUUAACCUCACAGAUUUGUAAUAUUGGAUAAUUUCUCUCCCCAAAUAAAUCAGUUUCUUAACCACUUAUUCAGUUCAUAGUCUGCAGCCAUUCCCAGCUGCCCGUGGGUGGACAUUAUACAGUGGGGCAAAAAGUAUUUAGUCAGCCACCGAUUGUGCAAGUUCCCCCACUUAAAAUGGACAGGUGUCUUUUAUACAGAUGAUGAGUUCAAACAGGUGCCAUUCAUACAGGUAACGAGUGGGGGACAGAAAAGCUUCUUACAGAAGACGUUACAGGUCUGUGAGAGCCAGAGAUUUUCCUUGUUUGAGGUGACCAAAUACUUAUUUUCCACCCUGAUUUACCAAUAAAUUCUUUACAAAUCCUACCAUGUGGAUUCAUGGAUUUUUUUUUCACAUUCUGUCUCUCACAGUUGAAGUGUACCUCUGGUGCAAAUUACUGACCUCUGUCAUCAUUUUAAGUGGGGGAACUUGCACAAUCGGUGGCUGACUAAAUACUUUUUUGCCCCACUGUGAACCUCACCUGUCUAUCACAAGGCUAUGUAAUUAAAUUCAAUAAAUCUGUAUUUUUUUUCCAUUGCAUUUUCCAGGAAUUCCAGCUCCCUAUGGCUUCCUGGCCACCUGAGCUCACUGAAAGCAAUUCUCCUUUAUUUCUGAGUUUUAAAUAUUCACUUUUCUAAUUGUAUUUUAUUUGUUUUAAUUAAGUUUAAAACUGAAACACGUUUGUGCUAAGGGUAAAGAAGCACUCACGCUGUGCAGGUUUAUGCAGUGCAGCCUGCAAAGUUUUGUUGACAUUGGUUUGCUUUUUUCCCCCAUUUGAAAUAAAAGCAGUUGUAAGAAAAACAUAAA